This 710-nucleotide ribosomal RNA is filed under the name Shigella boydii. RNAcentral's name for it is "bacterial SSU rRNA". It matches the Rfam family "Bacterial small subunit ribosomal RNA", at positions 57 to 757 of the family's 1533-position model. Lineage: Bacteria; Pseudomonadati; Pseudomonadota; Gammaproteobacteria; Enterobacterales; Enterobacteriaceae. The record is from RNAcentral.
GCAAGUCGAACGGUAACAGGAAGCAGCUUGCUGCUUUGCUGACGAGUGGCGGACGGGUGAGUAAUGUCUGGGAAACUGCCUGAUGGAGGGGGAUAACUACUGGAAACGGUAGCUAAUACCGCAUAACGUCGCAAGACCAAAGAGGGGGACCUUCGGGCCUCUUGCCAUCGGAUGUGCCCAGAUGGGAUUAGCUAGUAGGUGGGGUAACGGCUCACCUAGGCGACGAUCCCUAGCUGGUCUGAGAGGAUGACCAGCCACACUGGAACUGAGACACGGUCCAGACUCCUACGGGAGGCAGCAGUGGGGAAUAUUGCACAAUGGGCGCAAGCCUGAUGCAGCCAUGCCGCGUGUAUGAAGAAGGCCUUCGGGUUGUAAAGUACUUUCAGCGGGGAGGAAGGGAGUAAAGUUAAUACCUUUGCUCAUUGACGUUACCCGCAGAAGAAGCACCGGCUAACUCCGUGCCAGCAGCCGCGGUAAUACGGAGGGUGCAAGCGUUAAUCGGAAUUACUGGGCGUAAAGCGCACGCAGGCGGUUUGUUAAGUCAGAUGUGAAAUCCCCGGGCUCAACCUGGGAACUGCAUCUGAUACUGGCAAGCUUGAGUCUCGUAGAGGGGGUAGAAUUCCAGGUGUAGCGGUGAAAUGCGUAGAGAUCUGGAGGAAUACCGGUGGCGAAGGCGGCCCCCUGGACGAAGACUGACGCUCAGGUGCGAA